Molecule: ribosomal RNA, 550 nt
Filed under: uncultured bacterium
Lineage: Bacteria
Description: bacterial SSU rRNA
Rfam family: Bacterial small subunit ribosomal RNA
Source: RNAcentral
UGGGGAAUAUUGGACAAUGGGCGCAAGCCUGAUCCAGCCAUGCCGCGUGGGUGAAGAAGGCCUUCGGGUUGUAAAGCCCUUUUGUCCGGAAAGAAAUCCUGUCGGCUAACACCCGGCGGGGAUGACGGUACCGGAAGAAUAAGCACCGGCUAACUUCGUGCCAGCAGCCGCGGUAAUACGAAGGGUGCAAGCGUUACUCGGAAUUACUGGGCGUAAAGCGUGCGUAGGUGGUUCGUUAAGUCCGAUGUGAAANCCCUGGGCUCAACCUGGGAAUGGCAUUGGAUACUGGCGGGCUAGAGUGCGGUAGAGGAUGGCGGAAUUCCCGGUGUAGCAGUGAAAUGCGUAGAGAUCGGGAGGAACAUCUGUGGCGAAGGCGGCCMUCUGGACCAGCACUGACACUGAGGCACGAAAGCGUGGGGAGCAAACAGGAUUAGAUACCCUGGUAGUCCACGCCCUAAACGAUGCGAACUGGAUGUUGGGAGCAACUAGGCUCUCAGUAUCGAAGCUAACGCGUUAAGUUCGCCGCCUGGGGAGUACKGUCGCAAGACUG